CUACGGGGUGCUGCAGUGGGGAAUAUUGGACAAUGGGGGCAACCCUGAUCCAGCCAUGCCGCGUGUGUGAAGAAGGCCUUUUGGUUGUAAAGCACUUUAAGCAGGGAGGAGAGGCUAAUGGUUAAUACCCAUUAGAUUAGACGUUACCUGCAGAAUAAGCACCGGCUAACUCUGUGCCAGCGGCCGCGGUAAUACAGAGGGUGCGAGCGUUAAUCGGAAUUACUGGGCGUAAAGCGAGUGUAGGUGGCUCAUUAAGUCACAUGUGAAAUCCCCGGGCUUAACCUGGGAACUGCAUGUGAUACUGGUGGUGCUAGAAUAUGUGAGAGGGAAGUAGAAUUCCAGGUGUAGCGGUGAAAUGCGUAGAGAUCUGGAGGAAUACCGAUGGCGAAGGCAGCUUCCUGGCAUAAUAUUGACACUGAGAUUCGAAAGCGUGGGUAGCAAACAGGAUUAGAUACCCGAGUAGUC
Molecule: ribosomal RNA, 465 nt
Filed under: uncultured bacterium
Lineage: Bacteria
Description: partial 16S ribosomal RNA
Rfam family: Bacterial small subunit ribosomal RNA
Source: RNAcentral